UGGGGAAUUUUGGACAAUGGGCGAAAGCCUGAUCCAGCAAUGCCGCGUGUGUGAAGAAGGCCUUCGGGUUGUAAAGCACUUUUGUCCGGAAAGAAAUCCUUGGCUCUAAUACAGUCGGGGGAUGACGGUACCGGAAGAAUAAGCACCGGCUAACUACGUGCCAGCAGCCGCGGUAAUACGUAGGGUGCAAGCGUUAAUCGGAAUUACUGGGCGUAAAGCGUGCGCAGGCGGUUUGCUAAGACCGAUGUGAAAUCCCCGGGCUCAACCUGGGAACUGCAUUGGUGACUGGCAGGCUAGAGUAUGGCAGAGGGGGGUAGAAUUCCACGUGUAGCAGUGAAAUGCGUAGAGAUGUGGAGGAAUACCGAUGGCGAAGGCAGCCCCCUGGGCAAUACUGACGCUCAUGCACGAAAGCGUGGGGAGCAAACAGGAUUAGAUACCCUGGUAGUCCACGCCCUAAAACGAUGUCAACUAGUUGUUGGGGAUUCAUUUCCUUAGUAACGUAGCUAACGCGUGAAGUUGACCGCCUGGGGAGUACGGUCGCAAGAUUAAAACUCAAAGGAAUUGACGGGGUCAUAGCUGUUUCCU
Molecule: ribosomal RNA, 585 nt
Filed under: uncultured bacterium
Lineage: Bacteria
Description: partial 16S ribosomal RNA
Rfam family: Bacterial small subunit ribosomal RNA
Source: RNAcentral